Molecule: transfer RNA, 68 nt
Filed under: uncultured Butyrivibrio sp.
Lineage: Bacteria; Bacillati; Bacillota; Clostridia; Lachnospirales; Lachnospiraceae
Rfam family: tRNA
About the family: Transfer RNA (tRNA) molecules are approximately 80 nucleotides in length. Their secondary structure includes four short double-helical elements and three loops (D, anti-codon, and T loops).
Source: RNAcentral
CAGAUGUAGUUCAUCGGUAGAACGUCAGCUUCCCAAGCUGAAGAGGGGGGUUCGAUUCCCCUUAUCUG